This 373-nucleotide long non-coding RNA is filed under the name Lupinus angustifolius (narrow-leaved blue lupine). Its description in RNAcentral is "long non-coding RNA (LANG_LNC001605)". Lineage: Eukaryota; Viridiplantae; Streptophyta; Magnoliopsida; Fabales; Fabaceae. The record is from RNAcentral.
UUAUGUCCUUGGAGGUGUGGCCACAAAAUAGUGGAUUUUUGGAGAGUAAGAAGAACAAUGAAUCAAGAGAGAAACUAAUAUUGGGUAGUUGAUAAAGUGAGUUAAAAGCUCAUUCUUUAAACAAGAGGGGGGAGUUGGAACCAUGUGACAAAAGAGAUAAUGAAGAAUGUAUAUAUGAACAUUGGGACUUGCGAGUCAUGUGAUAAGAAUACGAAGGUUUAGCCAAAAAAAGACCCUUUAUUCAAAAGAAAGAUAUAGCAAUGUUAGAAACGUUUAUUUUAAAUUCUUAGGCUCUCACCACUGACAGCACAUGUGUAUGAUUCCAUUUCCUAUGGAACACUCAGUGUGAGGCUGAAAGAGUUAAUAAAGAACC